UGGAUGGAUGAUGACCACUGGUGGCGUAUGAGCCACACGAUGAAUACGUUUCUGGAACUCUAAGGUCCAU
This is a small nucleolar RNA of Sapajus apella (tufted capuchin), 70 nucleotides long. RefSeq annotates it as small nucleolar RNA SNORD113/SNORD114 family. The record is from RefSeq and is a predicted model, not a curated record. The transcript has a single exon. NCBI's taxonomy places the organism in Eukaryota, Metazoa, Chordata, Mammalia, Primates, Cebidae.